RNAcentral lists this ribosomal RNA (206 nucleotides) under uncultured bacterium. Its description in RNAcentral is "partial 16S ribosomal RNA". It matches the Rfam family "Bacterial small subunit ribosomal RNA", at positions 568 to 774 of the family's 1533-position model. The record is from RNAcentral.
CUCGUAGGCGGCUUGUUGCGUCAGCUGUGAAAGCCCGCAGCUCAACUGUGGGCUUGCAGCUGAUACGGGCAGGCUUGAGUUCGGUAGGGGAGACUGGAAUUCCUGGUGUAGCGGUGAAAUGCGCAGAUAUCAGGAGGAACACCGGUGGCGAAGGCGGGUCUCUGGGCCGAUACUGACGCUGAGGAGCGAAAGCGUGGGAGCGAACA